GACGAACGCUGGCGGCGUGCCUAAUACAUGCAAGUCGAGCGGACGAAUCGAAAGCUUGCUUUUGAUUCGUUAGCGGCGGACGGGUGAGUAACACGUGGGCAACCUGCCCUGUAGACGGGGAUAACACCGAGAAAUCGGUGCUAAUACCGGAUAACACGAAAUGUCGCAUGACGUUUCGUUGAAAGACGGCGCAAGCUGUCGCUACAGGAUGGGCCCGCGGCGCAUUAGCUAGUUGGUGAGGUAACGGCUCACCAAGGCGACGAUGCGUAGCCGACCUGAGAGGGUGAUCGGCCACACUGGGACUGAGACACGGCCCAGACUCCUACGGGAGGCAGCAGUAGGGAAUCUUCCGCAAUGGACGAAAGUCUGACGGAGCAACGCCGCGUGAGCGAAGAAGGCCUUCGGGUCGUAAAGCUCUGUUGUUAGGGAAGAACAAGUAACGCAGUAACUGGCGUUACCGUGACGGUACCUAACGAGAAAGCCACGGCUAACUACGU
RNAcentral lists this ribosomal RNA (497 nucleotides) under uncultured bacterium. RNAcentral's name for it is "partial 16S ribosomal RNA". It matches the Rfam family "Bacterial small subunit ribosomal RNA", at positions 28 to 506 of the family's 1533-position model. The record is from RNAcentral.